AAACUUUACAAUGCAGGAAACUGUGAUAAGGGAACCUCGAGUGCCUGUAUGGACAGGCUGUUCAGGUGCGUAAAAAACACCUGGAGAAAGGGCCGGGCAAGACCGGUGCCAGCCGCCGCGGUAAUACCGGCGGCUCGAGUGGUGGCCACUAUUACUGGGCUUAAAGCGUCCGUAGCUGGGUAGUUAAGUCUCUGGGGAAAUCUUCCGGCUCAACCGGAAGGCGUCUCAGGGAUACUGGCUGCCUUGGGAUCGGGAGAGGUGAGAGGUACUCUGGGGGUAGGAGUGAAAUCCUGUUAUCCUCAGGGGACCACCUGUGGCGAAGGCGUCUCACCAGAACGACUCCGACAGUGAGGGACGAAAGCUGGGGGAGCAAACCGG
RNAcentral lists this ribosomal RNA (378 nucleotides) under uncultured archaeon. RNAcentral's name for it is "bacterial SSU rRNA". It matches the Rfam family "Archaeal small subunit ribosomal RNA", at positions 345 to 727 of the family's 1478-position model. The record is from RNAcentral.